GGGCUGGCUAUAGCUCAGCGGUUCCUUCGACCGCAUCGUGAUUCAACCACCCUUCCGAGAGUGGUUCGAGACCCGCGGGCGCUCUCCAGCUCUUUU
This is a vault RNA of Delphinapterus leucas (beluga whale), 96 nucleotides long. Its record names the gene Vault. It matches the Rfam family "Vault RNA". From Rfam's summary of the family: This family of RNAs are found as part of the enigmatic vault ribonucleoprotein complex. The complex consists of a major vault protein (MVP), two minor vault proteins (VPARP and TEP1), and several small untranslated RNA molecules. It has been suggested that the vault complex is involved in drug resistance. NCBI's taxonomy places the organism in Eukaryota, Metazoa, Chordata, Mammalia, Artiodactyla, Monodontidae. The record is from Ensembl.